This 253-nucleotide ribosomal RNA is filed under the name uncultured bacterium. RNAcentral describes it as "partial 16S ribosomal RNA". It matches the Rfam family "Bacterial small subunit ribosomal RNA", at positions 524 to 776 of the family's 1533-position model. The record is from RNAcentral.
UACGGAGGGUGCAAGCGUUGUUCGGAAUCACUGGGCGUAAAGGGCGUGUAGGCGGUCCGCUAAGUCUGAUGUGAAAGCCCGGGGCUCACCCCCGGAAGGGCAUUGGAAACUGGCGGACUCGAGUCUCGGAGAGGAAGGUGGAAUUCCUGGUGUAGCGGUGAAAUGCGUAGAUAUCAGGAGGAAUACCGGUGGCGAAGGCGGCCUUCUGGACGAUGACUGACGCUGAGACGCGAAAGCGUGGGGAGCGAACAGG